CCCCGACUCACCCUCUGUGGAAGGGGGAAGUAAAGAGCAGGUAACCAGAGAGGAUGAAGCAGAGGUGGACGCAGUAGACGAAAUGAUGGCAGAUGUCAUGGUUCAGGCAGAUGGAGUUGCUGAAGGCGUAGCUGGUCAGGUGGAUGCCGAAGAGGCUGCAGCUUAAAGGUCUUCUGCCGGCGUCUCCAAGUAGACGAAGACUCCUUUUUUGUUUCUUUUCAGCUUUUGUAGUUUGCUUUUUUGUUUAGAAUAACUG
Molecule: long non-coding RNA, 256 nt
Filed under: Prunus persica (peach)
Lineage: Eukaryota; Viridiplantae; Streptophyta; Magnoliopsida; Rosales; Rosaceae
Description: long non-coding RNA (PPER_LNC005322)
Source: RNAcentral